Molecule: ribosomal RNA, 492 nt
Filed under: uncultured bacterium
Lineage: Bacteria
Description: partial 16S ribosomal RNA
Rfam family: Bacterial small subunit ribosomal RNA
Source: RNAcentral
AGUGAACGCUGGCGGUAGGCCUAACACAUGCAAGUCGAACGGCAGCACAGUAAGAGCUUGCUCUUACGGGUGGCGGGUGGCGGACGGGUGAGGAAUACAUCGGAAUCUACUUUUUCGUGGGGGAUAACGUAGGGAAACUUACGCUAAUACCGCAUACGACCUACGGGUGAAAGCAGGGGAUCUUCGGACUUUGCGCGAUUGAAUGAGCCGAUGUCGGAUUAGCUAGUUGGCGGGGGAAAGGCCCACCAGGGCGACGAUCCGUAGCUGGUCUGAGAGGAUGGACACCCACACUGGAACUGAGACACGGUCCAGACUCCUACGGGAGGCAGCAGUGGGGAAUAUUGGACAAUGGGCGCAAGCCUGAUCCAGCCAUACCGCGUGGGUGAAGAAGGCCUUCGGGUUGUAAAGCCCUUUUGUUGGGAAAGAAAAGCAGCAGGUUAAUACCCCGCUGUUCUGACGGUACCCAAAGAAUAAGCACCGGCUAACUUCGUG